CUAAGUUUGAUGGCGACCGGCGCACGGGUGAGUAACACGUAUCCAACCUGCCGAUGACUCGGGGAUAGCCUUUCGAAAGAAAGAUUAAUAUCCGAUAGCAUAUAUUUCCCGCAUGGGUUUUAUAUUAAAGAAAUUCGGUAUGAGAUGGGGAUGCGUUCCAUUAGUUUGUUGGGGGGGUAACGGCCCACCAAGACUACGAUGGAUAGGGGUUCUGAGAGGAAGGUCCCCCACAUUGGAACUGAGACACGGUCCAAACUCCUACGGAGGCAGCAUG
RNAcentral lists this ribosomal RNA (274 nucleotides) under uncultured bacterium. RNAcentral describes it as "partial 16S ribosomal RNA". It matches the Rfam family "Bacterial small subunit ribosomal RNA", at positions 79 to 353 of the family's 1533-position model. The record is from RNAcentral.